This 1356-nucleotide ribosomal RNA is filed under the name uncultured bacterium. RNAcentral describes it as "bacterial SSU rRNA". It matches the Rfam family "Bacterial small subunit ribosomal RNA", at positions 8 to 1372 of the family's 1533-position model. The record is from RNAcentral.
AGAGUUUGAUCCUGGCUCAGGAUUUCGCUGGCGGCGUGCUUAACACAUGCAAGUCGAACGGACUCAUAUUGAAACCUAGUGAUUUAUGAGUUAGUGGCGGACGGGUGAGUAACGCGUGGAUAACCUGCCGUAUACCGGGGGAUAACACUUAGAAAUAGGUGCUAAUACCGCAUAAGCGCACGGCUCCGCAUGGGGCAGUGUGAAAAACUCCGGUGGUAUACGAUGGAUCCGCGUCUGAUUAGCUAGUUGGCGGGGUAACGGCCCACCAAGGCAGCGAUCAGUAGCCGGCCUGAGAGGGUGGACGGCCACAUUGGGACUGAGACACGGCCCAAACUCCUACGGGAGGCAGCAGUGGGGAAUAUUGCACAAUGGGGGAAACCCUGAUGCAGCGACGCCGCGUGAGUGAAGAAGUAUCUCGGUACGUAAAGCUCUAUCAGCAGGGAAGAAAAUGACGGUACCUGACUAAGAAGCCCCGGCUAACUACGUGCCAGCAGCCGCGGUAAUACGUAGGGGGCAAGCGUUAUCCGGAUUUACUGGGUGUAAAGGGAGCGUAGACGGCAGCACAAGUCUGGAGUGAAAUCCCGGGGCUUAACCCCGGAACUGCUUUGGAAACUGUGCGGCUGGAGUGCAGGAGGGGUCGGCGGAAUUCCUCGUGUUGCGGUGGUGUGCGUCGCUUUUGGGGGGUGCCCCGGUGGCGGNGGCGGCUUCCUGGUCUGUGUCUGCCGUUGUGGCUCGUNUGCGUGGGGCGCCCCCAAAGAUUGGAUNCCCUGGUAGUCCACGCCCGUAAACGAUAAAUAUAGGGUGUUGGUGGGGCAAAGCCCCAUCGGUGCCGCCGCAAACGCAAAAAGUAUUCCACUGGGGGAGUACGUUCGCAAGAAUGAAACUCAAAGGAAUUGACGGGGACCCGCACAAGCGGUGGAGCAUGUGGUUUAAUUCGAAGCAACGCGAAGAACCUUACCAAGUCUUGACAUCUCCCUGACCGGUGAGUAAAGUCACCUUUCCUUCGGGACAGGGAAGACAGGUGGUGCAUGGUUGUCGUCAGCUCGUGUCGUGAGAUGUUGGGUUAAGUCCCGCAACGAGCGCAACCCUUAUUCUUAGUAGCCAGCAGGUGAAGCUGGGCACUCUGGGAAGACUGCCAGGGAUAACCUGGAGGAAGGUGGGGAUGACGUCAAAUCAUCAUGCCCCUUAUGGCCGGGGCUACACACGUGCUACAAUGGCGUAAACAAAGGGAAGCGAGAGAGUGAUCUUAAGCGAAACUCAAAAAUAACGUCCCAGUUCGGAUUGCAGUCUGCAACUCGACUGCAUGAAGCUGGAAUCGCUAGUAAUCGCGGAUCAGAAUGCCGCGGUGAAUACGUU